Molecule: ribosomal RNA, 468 nt
Filed under: uncultured bacterium
Lineage: Bacteria
Description: partial 16S ribosomal RNA
Rfam family: Bacterial small subunit ribosomal RNA
Source: RNAcentral
GACGAACGCUGGCGGCGUGCUUAACACAUGCAGGUCGAACGGAAAGGCCCUGCUUUUGUGGGGUGCUCGAGUGGCGAACGGGUGAGUAACACGUGAGUAACCUGCCCUUGACUUUGGGAUAACUUCAGGAAACUGGGGCUAAUACCGGAUAGGAGCUCCUGCUGCAUGGUGGGGGUUGGAAAGUUUCGGCGGUUGGGGAUGGACUCGCGGCUUAUCAGCUUGUUGGUGGGGUAGUGGCUUACCAAGGCUUUGACGGGUAGCCGGCCUGGGAGGGUGGCCGGCCACAAUGGGACUGAGAUACGGCCCAGACUCCUACGGGAGGCAGCAGUGGGGAAUAUUGCACAAUGGGCGGAGGCCUGAUGCAGCAACGCCGCGUGCGGGAUGACGGCCUUCGGGUUGUAAACCGCUUUCGCCUGUGACGAAGCGUGAGUGACGGUAAUGGGUAAAGAAGCACCGGCUAACUACGUG